AACGGUAACAUUGGAGCUUGCUCCAGAUGACGAGUGGCGGACGGGUGAGUAACGCGUAGGAAUCUGCCUAGUAGUGGGGGACAACAUGUGGAAACGCAUGCUAAUACCGCAUACGCCCUACGGGGGAAAGCGGGGGAUCUUCGGACCUCGCGCUAUUAGAUGAGCCUGCGUUAGAUUAGCUUGUUGGUGGGGUAAUGGCCUACCAAGGCGACGAUCUAUAGCUGGUCUGAGAGGACGAUCAGCCACACUGGGACUGAGACACGGCCCAGACUCCUACGGGAGGCAGCAGUGGGGAAUAUUGGACAAUGGGCGCAAGCCUGAUCCAGCAAUACCACGUGUGUGAAGAAGGCCUGAGGGUUGUAAAGCACUUUCAAUUGGGAGGAAAACAGCUGGGUUAAUAGCCCUGCUCUUGACAUUACCUUUAGAAGAAGCACCGGCUAACUCCGUGCCAGCAGCCGCGGUAAUACGGAGGGUGCGAGCGUUAAUCGGAAUUACUGGGCGUAAAGCGUACGUAGGCGGUUAUUUAAGUCAGAUGUGAAAGCCCCGGGCUCAACCUG
Molecule: ribosomal RNA, 557 nt
Filed under: uncultured bacterium
Lineage: Bacteria
Description: bacterial SSU rRNA
Rfam family: Bacterial small subunit ribosomal RNA
Source: RNAcentral